RNAcentral lists this transfer RNA (83 nucleotides) under Ensifer fredii. Its description in RNAcentral is "Sinorhizobium fredii tRNA-Leu". It matches the Rfam family "tRNA". From Rfam's summary of the family: Transfer RNA (tRNA) molecules are approximately 80 nucleotides in length. Their secondary structure includes four short double-helical elements and three loops (D, anti-codon, and T loops). Lineage: Bacteria; Pseudomonadati; Pseudomonadota; Alphaproteobacteria; Hyphomicrobiales; Rhizobiaceae. The record is from RNAcentral. RNAcentral also lists the same sequence under 14 other names.
GCCCGGUUGGUGGAAUUGGUAGACACACUUGGUUUAGGUCCAAGCGCGAGAGCAUGGGGGUUCGAGUCCCUCACCGGGCACCA